This 460-nucleotide ribosomal RNA is filed under the name uncultured bacterium. RNAcentral's name for it is "partial 16S ribosomal RNA". It matches the Rfam family "Bacterial small subunit ribosomal RNA", at positions 338 to 795 of the family's 1533-position model. The record is from RNAcentral.
CCUACGGGGUGCAGCAGUGAGGAAUAUUGGUCAAUGGACGAGAGUCUGAACCAGCCAAGUAGCGUGAAGGAUGACUGCCCUAUGGGUUGUAAACUUCUUUUAUAUGGGAAUAAAAUGUUCCACGUGUGGGAUUUUGUAUGUACCAUAUGAAUAAGGAUCGGCUAACUCCGUGCCAGCAGCCGCGGUAAUACGGAGGAUCCGAGCGUUAUCCGGAUUUAUUGGGUUUAAAGGGAGCGUAGGUGGAUUGUUAAGUCAGUUGUGAAAGUUUGCGGCUCAACCGUAAAAUUGCAGUUGAAACUGGCAGUCUGGAGUACAGUAGAGGUGGGCGGAAUUCGUGGUGUAGCGGUGAAAUGCUUAGACAUCACGAAGAACUCCGAUUGCGAAGGCAGCUCACUGGACUGCAACUGACACUGAGGCUCGAAAGUGUGGGUAUCAAACAGGAUUAGAUACCCUUGUAGUC